This 1504-nucleotide ribosomal RNA is filed under the name Escherichia coli. RNAcentral's name for it is "partial 23S ribosomal RNA". It matches the Rfam family "Bacterial large subunit ribosomal RNA", at positions 1291 to 2778 of the family's 2925-position model. The record is from RNAcentral. Lineage: Bacteria; Pseudomonadati; Pseudomonadota; Gammaproteobacteria; Enterobacterales; Enterobacteriaceae.
CGAAUGCUGACAUAAGUAACGAUAAAGCGGGUGAAAAGCCCGCUCGCCGGAAGACCAAGGGUUCCUGUCCAACGUUAAUCGGGGCAGGGUGAGUCGACCCCUAAGGCGAGGCCGAAAGGCGUAGUCGAUGGGAAACAGGUUAAUAUUCCUGUACUUGGUGUUACUGCGAAGGGGGGACGGAGAAGGCUAUGUUGGCCGGGCGACGGUUGUCCCGGUUUAAGCGUGUAGGCUGGUUUUCCAGGCAAAUCCGGAAAAUCAAGGCUGAGGCGUGAUGACGAGGCACUACGGUGCUGAAGCAACAAAUGCCCUGCUUCCAGGAAAAGCCUCUAAGCAUCAGGUAACAUCAAAUCGUACCCCAAACCGACACAGGUGGUCAGGUAGAGAAUACCAAGGCGCUUGAGAGAACUCGGGUGAAGGAACUAGGCAAAAUGGUGCCGUAACUUCGGGAGAAGGCACGCUGAUAUGUAGGUGAAGUCCCUCGCGGAUGGAGCUGAAAUCAGUCGAAGAUACCAGCUGGCUGCAACUGUUUAUUAAAAACACAGCACUGUGCAAACACGAAAGUGGACGUAUACGGUGUGACGCCUGCCCGGUGCCGGAAGGUUAAUUGAUGGGGUUAGCCGCAAGGCGAAGCUCUUGAUCGAAGCCCCGGUAAACGGCGGCCGUAACUAUAACGGUCCUAAGGUAGCGAAAUUCCUUGUCGGGUAAGUUCCGACCUGCACGAAUGGCGUAAUGAUGGCCAGGCUGUCUCCACCCGAGACUCAGUGAAAUUGAACUCGCUGUGAAGAUGCAGUGUACCCGCGGCAAGACGGAAAGACCCCGUGAACCUUUACUAUAGCUUGACACUGAACAUUGAGCCUUGAUGUGUAGGAUAGGUGGGAGGCUUUGAAGUGUGGACGCCAGUCUGCAUGGAGCCGACCUUGAAAUACCACCCUUUAAUGUUUGAUGUUCUAACGUUGACCCGUAAUCCGGGUUGCGGACAGUGUCUGGUGGGUAGUUUGACUGGGGCGGUCUCCUCCUAAAGAGUAACGGAGGAGCACGAAGGUUGGCUAAUCCUGGUCGGACAUCAGGAGGUUAGUGCAAUGGCAUAAGCCAGCUUGACUGCGAGCGUGACGGCGCGAGCAGGUGCGAAAGCAGGUCAUAGUGAUCCGGUGGUUCUGAAUGGAAGGGCCAUCGCUCAACGGAUAAAAGGUACUCCGGGGAUAACAGGCUGAUACCGCCCAAGAGUUCAUAUCGACGGCGGUGUUUGGCACCUCGAUGUCGGCUCAUCACAUCCUGGGGCUGAAGUAGGUCCCAAGGGUAUGGCUGUUCGCCAUUUAAAGUGGUACGCGAGCUGGGUUUAGAACGUCGUGAGACAGUUCGGUCCCUAUCUGCCGUGGGCGCUGGAGAACUGAGGGGGGCUGCUCCUAGUACGAGAGGACCGGAGUGGACGCAUCACUGGUGUUCGGGUUGUCAUGCCAAUGGCACUGCCCGGUAGCUAAAUGCGGAAGAGAUAAGUGCUGAAAGC